Molecule: ribosomal RNA, 464 nt
Filed under: uncultured Enterobacteriaceae bacterium
Lineage: Bacteria; Pseudomonadati; Pseudomonadota; Gammaproteobacteria; Enterobacterales; Enterobacteriaceae
Description: bacterial SSU rRNA
Rfam family: Bacterial small subunit ribosomal RNA
Source: RNAcentral
GGGGCCCGCACAAGCGUGGAGCAUGUGGUUUAAUUCGAUGCAACGCGAAGAACCUUACCUGGUCUUGACAUCCACAGAACUUUCCAGAGAUGGAUUGGUGCCUUCGGGAACUGUGAGACAGGUGCUGCAUGGCUGUCGUCAGCUCGUGUUGUGAAAUGUUGGGUUAAGUCCCGCAACGAGCGCAACCCUUAUCCUUUGUUGCCAGCGGUCCGGCCGGGAACUCAAAGGAGACUGCCAGUGAUAAACUGGAGGAAGGUGGGAUGACGUCAAGUCAUCAUGGCCCUUACGACCAGGGCUACACACGUGCUACAAUGGCGCAUACAAAGAGAAGCGACCUCGCGAGAGCAAGCGGACCUCAUAAAGUGCGUCGUAGUCCGGAUUGGAGUCUGCAACUCGACUCCAUGAAGUCGGAAUCGCUAGUAAUCGUGGAUCAGAAUGCCACGGUGAAUACGUUCCCGGGCCUU